RNAcentral lists this ribosomal RNA (558 nucleotides) under uncultured Janthinobacterium sp. RNAcentral's name for it is "bacterial SSU rRNA". It matches the Rfam family "Bacterial small subunit ribosomal RNA", at positions 771 to 1335 of the family's 1533-position model. The record is from RNAcentral. Lineage: Bacteria; Pseudomonadati; Pseudomonadota; Betaproteobacteria; Burkholderiales; Oxalobacteraceae.
AACAGGAUUAGAUACCCUGGUAGUCCACGCCCUAAACGAUGUCUACUAGUUGUCGGGUCUUAAUUGACUUGGUAACGCAGCUAACGCGUGAAGUAGACCGCCUGGGGAGUACGGUCGCAAGAUUAAAACUCAAAGGAAUUGACGGGGACCCGCACAAGCGGUGGAUGAUGUGGAUUAAUUCGAUGCAACGCGAAAAACCUUACCUACCCUUGACAUGGCUGGAAUCCUCGAGAGAUUGAGGAGUGCUCGAAAGAGAACCAGUACACAGGUGCUGCAUGGCUGUCGUCAGCUCGUGUCGUGAGAUGUUGGGUUAAGUCCCGCAACGAGCGCAACCCUUGUCAUUAGUUGCUACGAAAGAGCACUCUAAUGAGACUGCCGGUGACAAACCGGAGGAAGGUGGGGAUGACGUCAAGUCCUCAUGGCCCUUAUGGGUAGGGCUUCACACGUCAUACAAUGGUACAUACAGAGCGCCGCCAACCCGCGAGGGGGAGCUAAUCGCAGAAAGUGUAUCGUAGUCCGGAUUGUAGUCUGCAACUCGACUGCAUGAAGUGGAAUCGC